RNAcentral lists this ribosomal RNA (253 nucleotides) under uncultured bacterium. RNAcentral describes it as "partial 16S ribosomal RNA". It matches the Rfam family "Bacterial small subunit ribosomal RNA", at positions 524 to 776 of the family's 1533-position model. The record is from RNAcentral.
UACGGAGGGAGCUAGCGUUAUUCGGAAUUACUGGGCGUAAAGCGCACGUAGGCGGCUUUGUAAGUAAGAGGUGAAAGCCCAGAGCUCAACUCUGGAAUUGCCUUUUAGACUGCAUCGCUUGAAUCAUGGAGAGGUCGGUGGAAUUCCGAGUGUAGAGGUGAAAUUCGUAGAUAUUCGGAAGAACACCAGUGGCGAAGGCGGCUGACUGGACAUGUAUUGACGCUGAGGUGCGAAAGCGUGGGGAGCAAACAGG